RNAcentral lists this ribosomal RNA (432 nucleotides) under Salmonella enterica subsp. enterica serovar Saintpaul str. S-70. RNAcentral describes it as "bacterial LSU rRNA". It matches the Rfam family "Bacterial large subunit ribosomal RNA", at positions 1 to 471 of the family's 2925-position model. The record is from RNAcentral. Lineage: Bacteria; Pseudomonadati; Pseudomonadota; Gammaproteobacteria; Enterobacterales; Enterobacteriaceae.
GGUUAAGCGACUAAGCGUACACGGUGGAUGCCCUGGCAGUCAGAGGCGAUGAAGGACGUGCUAAUCUGCGAUAAGCGCCGGUAAGGUGAUAUGAACCGUUAUAACCGGCGAUUUCCGAAUGGGGAAACCCAGUGUGACUCGUCACACUAUCAUUAACUGAAUCCAUAGGUUAAUGAGGCGAACCGGGGGAACUGAAACAUCUAAGUACCCCGAGGAAAAGAAAUCAACCGAGAUUCCCCCAGUAGCGGCGAGCGAACGGGGAGGAGCCCAGAGCCUGAAUCAGCAUGUGUGUUAGUGGAAGCGUCUGGAAAGGCGCGCGAUACAGGGUGACAGCCCCGUACACAAAAGCGCAUGUGCUGUGAGCUCGAUGAGUAGGGCGGGACACGUGGUAUCCUGUCUGAAUAUGGGGGGGACCAUCCUCCAAGGCUAAAU